Molecule: ribosomal RNA, 429 nt
Filed under: Pseudomonadota bacterium
Lineage: Bacteria; Pseudomonadati; Pseudomonadota
Description: Proteobacteria bacterium partial 16S ribosomal RNA
Rfam family: Bacterial small subunit ribosomal RNA
Source: RNAcentral
UGGGGAAUAUUGGACAAUGGGCGAAAGCCUGAUCCAGCCAUGCCGCGUGUGUGAAGAAGGUCUUCGGUUUGUAUAGCUCUUUAAGUUGGGAGGAAGGGCAGUAAGCGAAUACCUUGCUGUUUUGACGUUACCGACAGAAUAAGCACCGGCUAACUCUGUGCCAGCAGCCGCGGUAAUACAGAGGGUGCAAGCGUUAACCGGAAUUACUGGGCGUAAAGCGCGCGUAGGUGGUUCGUUAAGUUGAAUGUGAAAGCCCCGGGGUCAACCUGGGAACUGCAUCCAAAGCUGGCUAGCUAGAGUAGGGCAGAGGGUGGUGGAAUUUCCUGUGUAGCGGUGAAGUGCGUAGAUAUAGAAAGGAACACCAGUGGCGGAGGCGACCACCUGGGCUCAUACUGACACUGAGGUGCGAAAGCGUGGGGAGCAAACAGA